RNAcentral lists this ribosomal RNA (477 nucleotides) under Veillonella parvula. RNAcentral's name for it is "bacterial SSU rRNA". It matches the Rfam family "Bacterial small subunit ribosomal RNA", at positions 28 to 474 of the family's 1533-position model. The record is from RNAcentral. Lineage: Bacteria; Bacillati; Bacillota; Negativicutes; Veillonellales; Veillonellaceae.
GACGAACGCUGGCGGCGUGCUUAACACAUGCAAGUCGAACGAAGAGCGAUGGAAGCUUGCUUCUAUCAAUCUUAGUGGCGAACGGGUGAGUAACGCGUAAUCAACCUGCCCUUCAGAGGGGGACAACAGUUGGAAACGACUGCUAAUACCGCAUACGAUCUAACCUCGGCAUCGAGGAAAGAUGAAAGGUGGCCUCUAUGUAUAAGCUAUCACUGAAGGAGGGGAUUGCGUCUGAUUAGCUAGUUGGAGGGGUAACGGCCCACCAAGGCGAUGAUCAGUAGCCGGUCUGAGAGGAUGAACGGCCACAUUGGGACUGAGACACGGCCCAGACUCCUACGGGUGGCAGCAGUGGGGAAUCUUCCGCAAUGGACGAAAGUCUGACGGAGCAACGCCGCGUGAGUGAUGACGGCCUUCGGGUUGUAAAGCUCUGUUAAUCGGGACGAAAGGCCUUCUUGCGAAUAGUUAGAAGGAUUGACG